AUUGAACGCUGGCGGCAUGCUUUACACAUGCAAGUCGAACGGCAGCACGGGCUUCGGCCUGGCGGCGAGUGGCGAACGGGUGAGUAAUACAUCGGAACGUGCCCAGUAGUGGGGGAUAGCUCGGCGAAAGCCGGAUUAAUACCGCAUACGACCUGAGGGUGAAAGCGGGGGAUCUUCGGACCUCGCGCUAUUGGAGCGGCCGAUGGCAGAUUAGCUAGUUGGUGGGGUAAAGGCCUACCAAGGCGACGACCUGUAGCUGGUCUGAGAGGACGACCAGCCACACUGGGACUGAGACACGGCCCAGACUCCUACGGGAGGCAGCAGUGGGGAAUUUUGGACAAUGGGCGAAAGCCUGAUCCAGCAAUGCCGCGUGUGUGAUGAAGGCCUUCGGGUUGUAAAGCACUUUUGGCGGGAACGAAAAGGACUGUGCCAAUACCACGGUUCGAUGACGGUACCCGCAGAAUAAGCACCGGCUAACUACGUG
This 484-nucleotide ribosomal RNA is filed under the name uncultured bacterium. RNAcentral describes it as "partial 16S ribosomal RNA". It matches the Rfam family "Bacterial small subunit ribosomal RNA", at positions 29 to 507 of the family's 1533-position model. The record is from RNAcentral.